Molecule: ribosomal RNA, 465 nt
Filed under: Vreelandella stevensii
Lineage: Bacteria; Pseudomonadati; Pseudomonadota; Gammaproteobacteria; Oceanospirillales; Halomonadaceae
Description: partial 16S ribosomal RNA
Rfam family: Bacterial small subunit ribosomal RNA
Source: RNAcentral
CCUACGGGAGGCAGCAGUGGGGAAUAUUGGACAAUGGGGGCAACCCUGAUCCAGCCAUGCCGCGUGUGUGAAGAAGGCCCUCGGGUUGUAAAGCACUUUCAGUGAGGAAGAACGCCUGGUGGUUAAUACCCAUCAGGAAAGACAUCACUCACAGAAGAAGCACCGGCUAACUCCGUGCCAGCAGCCGCGGUAAUACGGAGGGUGCGAGCGUUAAUCGGAAUUACUGGGCGUAAAGCGCGCGUAGGUGGCUUGAUAAGCCGGUUGUGAAAGCCCCGGGCUCAACCUGGGAACGGCAUCCGGAACUGGCAAGCUAGAGUGCAGGAGAGGAAGGUAGAAUUCCCGGUGUAGCGGUGAAAUGCGUAGAGAUCGGGAGGAAUACCAGUGGCGAAGGCGGCCUUCUGGACUGACACUGACACUGAGGUGCGAAAGCGUGGGUAGCAAACAGGAUUAGAUACCCGGGUAGUC